RNAcentral lists this long non-coding RNA (500 nucleotides) under Salvia miltiorrhiza (redroot sage). RNAcentral's name for it is "long non-coding RNA (SMIL_LNC008991)". The record is from RNAcentral. Lineage: Eukaryota; Viridiplantae; Streptophyta; Magnoliopsida; Lamiales; Lamiaceae.
UCUGACCAUAAGCUUGCCUAUCUUCUAAUAUCUUCCCCUUUAGUCAAAGUCCUAGGUGCAUCUCAUUAGGUCUUUCAUUGGUUGUAAUGUGGCUUAAGGCAUAAGGUGAGGAUUUUUGGUACGAGGCUAAGGUCAUACUGAACUUCAUUCUGGGCAACUUACUUCCCAAAUUCUUUUGAUCCUUGCCUAUUCUUACGGGCCUAAGCACAUUCUUCCCUUUAUUCUUCCUCUCCUUUUUUUUCUUUUUCUCUUUCUUUUUCUUUUCAUUUCUUUUUCUCUUUCUGGACUUUUCUUUGUUUUGGGAUUUAGAUUUCCCAUUUUUCAUUUUCUUUGCACUAGUCCUGCCCAUAGGAUCCACUACACUAUCUUCCCUUCUUUUGCCCUUAAGUUCAGUUUGACCGGGACGGCUCAAAUCUAGGCAAAUUUAUAAGUGAAUUCAAAUGAAUUAUUAAGCUCAAAAGGGUUCACAAGUGAUAGAUGUAGGGUUGGUCAGUUUGGCU